ACUCACCCGGGCUGUGCCCGUGGCCCCGCUACGCCGAGUGCACGUGAACGCGCGUCGCGCUCGUUUCUAAUUUUGGCUCCGGCGGCCCCAGCGGGGUCGAGCGAGGUAAAGGCGGGCCGAGGAGACCCCGGGGCCGGGAGCGCGGUUCUCCAGGUCUCUUGCUGCCCCGCCGUCUGGCCCCCUGGAGGACGGGUCGCGGCCGGAGCUCUGGAACGCCAACGCUUCCACUGGCCAGGCCGAAGCGUCUCCUCCGCGUGCCAGCCCAGCCUUGAGCUCAGCGUGGGCGCCCCAUAAGCGAAUGGGGGUUCCCACCUGGAUGCGACUCGGGGCUUCCCAGAGAGGGCCAGGGUUCUGGAAAGUUCCCUGGUGGAAGGAGUGCCGUGGGGGCUGAAGUCGGAACAGGAGCGGGGCUCGGCGAGGGCUCGGGCGGGCGGUGUGGACGGAGCCCGUCGGGGCGUCGGCCCUCGGUGACCUCCGUGGGGCGGUGGCCCAGCCUCUGUGAGCGGGGCCCUGGCUCGGCCCGCGUCGCCAACAGCGGGUGGGGGGUGGCCGGGCCCCCACUGAGCCCCGUGUCUGAGCCACGGGCAGUGGGAGGGACGGUGCCCUCGGUGGUGUGAAGGGCAGUGGCCGUCCAGGGGGCGGGCUAAGCACAGAGGCCUCGAAGUCACCGGUUGAGGAGCCAGCGCCCAGCGCAGAAACCCAGGCUCUCCAUCCCGAGCCCCACGGGAGUACCGAGGUGACCUUCCAGGAAUCAGAUAAAAACUUCGUUUUGAAGAAGGCGGUGCCAGACACCUUGUGAAAUCGACACUCUCCCCUUUGUGGGGAGGAAGUUCUGGAAAGAAGCUCUGUCAGCGUAAAGUGAACUGCAGUUUUGGCUUUGCAGAGUGGUCUGCCGUGUCACAGUGACCUGCAUUCUGCUGUUGGUGUAGCAUCUUCAGGUUUCACAGGGAUUGUCUCUGAAGCUACUGGAGGGGGUGCUCUAUCAAAAUGAGGGAAUAAACCAAGAGGAAGCCAAGAGGUGCUGGAACCAGAAACUCCAACUACUGUUAUAAAGGAAUAGAGAGCGGUUCCCGGCCACAGGACACGUCUCUCCUGGCCCACGGUGAGUGUCACAGGGCCGCCACAGUGAGCAUCAGGGACGCCAGCCUGAGGCUCUGCCCUGGGAGAAACCCCCCCAUCGUCUCCUCCGGCAGUGCUCAUAGUGCGUACAUAAGCGAACAUCUAUUAAAUGAGUGGUGGGCAACCCACGAAAGGACUCCAGGACCUGCUCUCAACUGGCAGGGCCCUCUGUGAGCUGCAGCGAGGCACUGCUCCUCUCUGGACCUUGGUUCCCCCAGCUGUCAGGUGAGAUGGCCUCGAAGGCACAGGGAGCCCUACAGAGAGGGGCACAGGUCUCCAGCUUCCUGAGUGACUUCAGUAAGUAAAUACAUCUCUCUAAGCCUCAGUUUCCUUCUUUGUAAAAUGGAACAAUAAUACUGCAGAACCUGAGCAGAACCUCAUAACUAGGAUCCCAAGAAUUCAACUGCACAAAACUUGGAGUCUCACUACGGUAAGGAUAAAAGAAGAGAUAGGGCACUUGGAGCUAACUGCAUUGUGUCUAUUCAAUUAUCAUGAGGUGUUAU
Long non-coding RNA from Hippopotamus amphibius kiboko, 1622 nucleotides. RefSeq lists it as uncharacterized. The transcript is spliced from 3 exons. The record is from RefSeq and is a predicted model, not a curated record. NCBI's taxonomy places the organism in Eukaryota, Metazoa, Chordata, Mammalia, Artiodactyla, Hippopotamidae.